AGAAUCAACGCUGGCGGCGUGCCUAACACAUGCAAGUCGAACGCGAAAGCCCCGCAAGGGGCAAGUAGAGUGGCAAACGGGUGAGUAACACGUGGGUGACCUGCCUUCGAGUGGGGGAUAACGUCCCGAAAGGGACGCUAAUACCGCAUGACAUCCUGUCUUUGGACAGACGGAGAUCAAAGCUGGGGAUCGCAAGACCUGGCGCUUGAAGAGGGGCCCGCGCCUGAUUAGCUAGUUGGUGAGGUAACGGCUCACCAAGGCUACGAUCAGUA
This 272-nucleotide ribosomal RNA is filed under the name uncultured soil bacterium. RNAcentral describes it as "partial 16S ribosomal RNA". It matches the Rfam family "Bacterial small subunit ribosomal RNA", at positions 26 to 285 of the family's 1533-position model. The record is from RNAcentral.